GUAGGGUGCGAGCGUUGUCCGGAAUUAUUGGGCGUAAAGAGCUCGUAGGCGGUUUGUCGCGUCGGCCGUGAAAACUUGGGGCUUAACCCCAAGCCUGCGGUCGAUACGGGCAGACUUGAGUUCGGCAGGGGAGACUGGAAUUCCUGGUGUAGCGGUGAAAUGCGCAGAUAUCAGGAGGAACACCGGUGGCGAAGGCGGGUCUCUGGGCCGAUACUGACGCUGAGGAGCGAAAGCGUGGGGAGCGAACAGGAUUAGAUACCCUGGUAGUCCACGCCGUAAACGGUGGGUGCUAGGUGUGGGGGACUUCCACGUCCUCUGUGCCGCAGCUAACGCAUUAAGCACCCCGCCUGGGGAGUACGGCCGCAAGGCUA
This 371-nucleotide ribosomal RNA is filed under the name uncultured bacterium. Its description in RNAcentral is "bacterial SSU rRNA". It matches the Rfam family "Bacterial small subunit ribosomal RNA", at positions 527 to 896 of the family's 1533-position model. The record is from RNAcentral.